RNAcentral lists this ribosomal RNA (253 nucleotides) under uncultured bacterium. RNAcentral's name for it is "partial 16S ribosomal RNA". It matches the Rfam family "Bacterial small subunit ribosomal RNA", at positions 524 to 776 of the family's 1533-position model. The record is from RNAcentral.
UACGUAGGGGGCUAGCGUUGUCCGGAAUCAUUGGGCGUAAAGAGCGUGUAGGCGGCCCGGUAAGUCCGCUGUGAAAGUCGGGGGCUCAACCCUCGAAUGCCGGUGGAUACUGUCGGGCUAGAGUGCGGAAGAGGAGAGUGGAAUUCCUGGUGUAGCGGUGAAAUGCGCAGAUAUCAGGAGGAACACCCGUGGCGAAAGCGGCUCUCUGGGACGGUACUGACGCUGAGACGCGAAAGCGUGGGGAGCAAACAGG